RNAcentral lists this ribosomal RNA (299 nucleotides) under Squilla chydaea. RNAcentral describes it as "partial 12S ribosomal RNA". It matches the Rfam family "Bacterial small subunit ribosomal RNA", at positions 872 to 1344 of the family's 1533-position model. Lineage: Eukaryota; Metazoa; Arthropoda; Malacostraca; Stomatopoda; Squillidae. The record is from RNAcentral.
CCAGGGUAGUAUAUAGCUAUGUCUUGAAACCCAAAGAGUUUGGCGGUAUCUCAGUCUAGUUAGAGGAGCUUGUUCGGUAAUCGAUAAUCCGCGAAAAAUCUUACACACUUUUGUAGUCAGCUUAUAUACCGUCGUUAUUAGAUAAUACUAAAAAGUAAAUAAUUAUCUAAAAAUAUUUGAAUAUAAUAUAUCAGGUCAAGGUGUAGCUUAUGAGUGUGAGUUGAAUGAGCUACAAUUUAGUAAAUAAAAACGGAUAUUAUUUUUAAAUAAAUAAUUAAAGGUGGAUUUAAUAGUAAUUG